UACGGGGGGAGCAAGCGUUGUUCGGAUUUACUGGGCGUAAAGGGCGCGUAGGCGGUCUUGUAAGUCUCGUGUGAAAUCCCUCGGCUUAACUGAGGAACUGCACGGGAUACUGCAUGACUUGAGAUCGGGAGAGGGAAGCGGAAUUCCGGGUGUAGCGGUGAAAUGCGUAGAUAUCCGGAGGAACACCGGUGGCGAAGGCGGCUUCCUGGACCGACACUGACGCUGAGGCGCGAAAGCUAGGGGAGCAAACGGG
This 253-nucleotide ribosomal RNA is filed under the name uncultured bacterium. RNAcentral describes it as "partial 16S ribosomal RNA". It matches the Rfam family "Bacterial small subunit ribosomal RNA", at positions 524 to 776 of the family's 1533-position model. The record is from RNAcentral.